This 482-nucleotide ribosomal RNA is filed under the name uncultured bacterium. Its description in RNAcentral is "partial 16S ribosomal RNA". It matches the Rfam family "Bacterial small subunit ribosomal RNA", at positions 30 to 507 of the family's 1533-position model. The record is from RNAcentral.
AUUGAACGCUGGCGGCAUGCCUUACACAUGCAAGUCGAACGGUAACGGGCCUUCGGGUGCCGACGAGUGGCGAACGGGUGAGUAAUACAUCGGAACGUGCCCGAUCGUGGGGGAUAACGAGGCGAAAGCUUUGCUAAUACCGCAUACGAUCUACGGAUGAAAGCAGGGGACCGCAAGGCCUUGCGCGGACGGAGCGGCCGAUGGCAGAUUAGGUAGUUGGUGGGAUAAAAGCUUACCAAGCCGACGAUCUGUAGCUGGGCUGAGAGGAUGAUCAGCCACACUGGGACUGAGACACGGCCCAGACUCCUACGGGAGGCAGCAGUGGGGAAUUUUGGACAAAGGGCGCAAGCCUGAUCCAGCCAUGCCGCGUGCAGGAUGAGGGCCUUCGGGUUGUAAACUGCUUUUGUACGGAACGAAAAGCCUUCUUUUAAUACAGGAGGGUCAUGACGGUACCGUAAGAAUAAGCACCGGCUAACUACGUG